AUACGGAGGAUCCGAGCGUUAUCCGGAUUUAUUGGGUUUAAAGGGUGCGCAGGCGGGAGAUUAAGUCGGCAGUGAAAUUUUGCAGCUCAACUGUAAAAGUGCCUUCGAAACUGGUUUCCUUGAGUGUAGAUGAAGUAGGCGGAAUUUGUGGUGUAGCGGUGAAAUGCAUAGAUAUUACGAGGAACUCCGAUUGCGCAGGCAGCUUACUAAACUACUACUGACGCUCAGGCACGAAGGCGUGGGGAUCAAACAGGAUUAGAUACCCUGGUAGUCCACGCAGUAAACGAUGAUUACUAGCUGUUUGCGAUACAAUGUAAGCGGCUGAGCGAAAGCGUUAAGUAAUCCACCUGGGGAGUACGUUCGCAAGAAUGAAACUCAAAUGAAUUGACGGGG
RNAcentral lists this ribosomal RNA (393 nucleotides) under uncultured bacterium. Its description in RNAcentral is "partial 16S ribosomal RNA". It matches the Rfam family "Bacterial small subunit ribosomal RNA", at positions 523 to 918 of the family's 1533-position model. The record is from RNAcentral.